This 699-nucleotide ribosomal RNA is filed under the name uncultured bacterium. RNAcentral describes it as "bacterial SSU rRNA". It matches the Rfam family "Bacterial small subunit ribosomal RNA", at positions 56 to 784 of the family's 1533-position model. The record is from RNAcentral.
UGCAAGUCGUACGGGGGAAAGGCAACUUUCUUUAGUGGCGGACGGGUGAGUAACGCGUAAGAAUCUUCCCUUUAGAGUGGUAUAACCUUUGGAAACGAUGGUUAAUCCCGCAUAUGAGAGUAAUCUUAAAAGGUACAGCAAUGUAUCGCUAGAGGAUGAGCUUGCGUCUGAUUAGCUAGUUGGGGAGGUAAUGGCUCACCAAGGCGAUGAUCAGUAGCUGGUUUGAGAGAACGACUAGCCACACUGGGACUGAGACACGGCCCAGACUCCUACGGGAGGCAGCAGUGUGGAAUUUUUCGCAAUGGGCGCAAGCCUGACGGAGCAAUACUGCGUGGAGGAUGAAGGCUCGUGGGUUGUAAACUCCUUUUCCUAGAGAAGAAAUCAUUGACGGUAUCUAGGGAAUAAGCAUUGGCUAACUACGUGCCAGCAGCUGCGGUAAUACGUGGAAUGCAAGCGUUAUCCGGAUUUAUUGGGCUAAAGCGUCUGUAGGUUGCUUCGCAAGUUUGCUGUUAAAUUGUUCGGCUCAACCGAAUCCCAGCAGCAAAAACUAUGAAGCUUGAGUGUGGUAGAGGAAAAAGGAAUUCCCUGUGGAGCGGUGAAAUGCGUAGAGAUAGGGAAGAACACCAAUGGCGAAAGCAUUUUUCUGGGCCUGCACUGACACUGAGAGACGAAAGCUAGGGGAGCGAGCGGGAUUAGAUA